Molecule: long non-coding RNA, 451 nt
Filed under: Nicotiana benthamiana
Lineage: Eukaryota; Viridiplantae; Streptophyta; Magnoliopsida; Solanales; Solanaceae
Description: long non-coding RNA (NBEN_LNC033866)
Source: RNAcentral
CCUUACUCCGAUCCGCCGUUACGUGUCGUCGCAAUUGAUUUGUGUUAUAGGGAUUGUCAAGAAAAUGAGCUCAGAUAUGUUAAGGCUAGCCAUUCUUUUCUUUUGGCAUGAUCCGAUACAAAUGAAACGAGCAAAUGCACAAUUUUCAUAAGUGACUCUAUUCAUAGAAAUGCUAGAGAUGCUUAUCUUCUUGGUUCCCCAUGUGUCAUAUUAUUCUAUCUUCUGUUCAUGGGUCUUAGAAAAUACCUAAGUUGAUAAAGUUUACUUCAUGAUAUUAAUCAGAGGCAUAAUGGUCUUAUGAUGUUCCGAGAGGUUUUAUCGAUGUAAUUAUCAUGCGUUGCAUUCAAUUAUACAUGUACAUUGAUCCAUGAACAGAUGGAGUUAUAUACACACAUAUAUGUAUAUUAUAUGUAUAUGGGCUAUGGGAAAAGGCUACGAUGUUAUAACGCAC